This 1928-nucleotide ribosomal RNA is filed under the name bioreactor sludge metagenome. RNAcentral describes it as "bacterial LSU rRNA". It matches the Rfam family "Bacterial large subunit ribosomal RNA", at positions 1 to 1999 of the family's 2925-position model. The record is from RNAcentral.
GGAAGCUUAUAAGGGCGUACGGGGGAUGCCUAGGCUCUCAGAGACGACGAAGGACGUGGUAAGCUGCGAAAAGCUGCGGGGAGGUGCAAACGACCGUUAAUCCGUAGAUGUCCGAAUGGGGAAACCCACAUGGUUGAAGACCAUGUACCUCGCAAGAGGAGAGAACCCAGGGAACUGAAACAUCUAAGUACCUGGAGGAGAAGAAAACAAUAGUGAUUCCGCAAGUAGUGGCGAGCGAACGCGGAAGAGCCUAAACCGGUCUGCGUGCAGAUCGGGGUUGUAGGACCGACAAAAAGUUAAUCAAACGAAGUGGAAGGUGUUUGGAAGAUGCCGCCGCAGAGGGUGAAAGCCCCGUACACGAAAGGUUGAUUAAUGGGUUGGGAUCCUGAGUAGGGCGGGACCGGCGAAAUCCUGUCUGAAACUGGCGGCACCAUCCGCUAAGGCUAAAUACUCCUGAGAGACCGAUAGCGAAGUAGUACUGUGAAGGAAAGGUGAAAAGGACCCCAAGAAGGGGAGUGAAAAGACCCUGAAACCGUACGCCUACAAGCGGUCGGAGCUGCACUUCGGUGUAGUGACGGCGUGCCUUUUGCAUAAUGAGCCUACGAGUUACCUUGACAAGCGAGUUUAAGCCCUUCAGGGGCGAAGGCGAAGCGAAAGCGAGUCUUAACAGGGCGAGAGCUUGUUGAGGUAGACGCGAAACCGAGUGAUCUACCCAUGGGCAGGUUGAAGUUCCGAUAAUAUCGGAAUGGAGGACCGAACUGGUAAACGUUGAAAAGUUUUCGGAUGACCUGUGGGUAGGGGCGAAAGACUAAUCAAACUCGGAGAUAUCUCGUACUCCCCGAAAUGCAUUUAGGUGCAGCGUCGCCAAGAGUGUGUCGGAGGUAGAGCUACCAAUAGGGCUAGGGGGCUUCACCGCCUACCAACCCCUGAUGAACUCCGAAUGCCGACACAUUGCAACGGCAGUGAGGCGGUGGGUGCUAAGGUCCAUCGCCGAGAGGGGAACAACCCAGACCAUCGGCUAAGGCCCCGAAGUGAUCGCUAAGUUGAUAGAACGAUGUGGGGAUGCAUUGACAGCUAGGAUGUUGGCUUGGAAGCAGCCAUUCAUUUAAAGAGUGCGUAACAGCUCACUAGUCGAGCGUUCCUGCGCGGAAAAUAAGCGGGCAUCAAGCGAUCCGCCGAAGCCAUGGAUGUCACGAAAGUGACAUGGUAGGGGAGCAUUCCGGUUGCGUAGAAGCCGUGUCGUGAGGCAUGGUGGAGCGGUCGGAAAAGCAAAUGUAGGCAUGAGUAACGAUAAAGGAUGUGAAAAACAUCCUCGCCGUAAGACCAAGGAUUCCUGAUCGAUGUUAAUCAGAUCAGGGUUAGUCGGGACCUAAGGAGUAGCCGAGAGGCGAAUCUGAUGGCAAACGGGUUAAUAUUCCCGUACCUGUUAUAAGUUAAAAAGGUGACGGAGAGGUGUAGUGCACGCGUACUGACGGAAUAGUACGUUGAACCAUCUGAGAGGAUGGGAUAGUACACUAAGUCCACUGGACGAGGUGAUAGUUGCAUGAAGCCGCUUCCAAGAAAAGCCGAAUUAUAACAGCCCGUACCGUAAACCGACACAGGUGGUCGAGUCGAGUAGACUAAGGCGCUCGAGUGAUUCACGGCUAAGGAAUUCGGCAAAAUGGUCUCGUAACUUCGGGAGAAGAGACCCCCACGCGAGUGGGGCGCAGUGAAUAGGUCCAGGCGACUGUUUAGCAAAAACACAGGGCUCUGCGAAAUCGAAAGAUGAAGUAUAGGGUCUGACACCUGCCCGGUGCCGGAAGGUUAAGGAAGGGGGUUAGUCGAAAGGCGAAGCUCUUGACUGAAGCCCCGGUAAACGGCGGCCGUAACUAUAACGGUCCUAAGGUAGCGAAAUUCCUUGUCGGGUAAGUUCCGACCUGCACGAAUGG